Molecule: ribosomal RNA, 446 nt
Filed under: uncultured bacterium
Lineage: Bacteria
Description: partial 16S ribosomal RNA
Rfam family: Bacterial small subunit ribosomal RNA
Source: RNAcentral
CCUACGGGCGGCAGCAGUCGAGAAUUAUUCACAAUGGGGGAAACCCUGAUGGUGCGACGCCGCGUGGGGGAAUGAAGGUCUUCGGAUUGUAAACCCCUGUCAUGUGGGAGCAAAUUAAAAAGAUAGUACCACAAGAGGAAGAGACGGCUAACUCUGUGCCAGCAGCCGCGGGAAUACAGCGGUCUCAAGCGUUGUUCGGAAUCACUGGGCGUAAAGCGUGCGUAGGCUGUUUCGUAAGUCGUGUGUGAAAGGCGCGGGCUCAACCCGCGGACGGAACAUGAUACUGCGAGACUAGAGUAAUGGAGGGGGAACCGGAAUUCUCGGUGUAGCAGUGAAAUGCGUAGAUAUCGAGAGGAACACUCGUGGCGAAGGCGGGUUCCUGGACAUUAACUGACGCUGAGGCACGAAGGCCAGGGGAGCGAAAGGGAUUAGAUACCCUGGUAGUC